RNAcentral lists this ribosomal RNA (362 nucleotides) under Pontellina sp. USNM IZ 1450410. RNAcentral describes it as "SSU rRNA". It matches the Rfam family "Eukaryotic small subunit ribosomal RNA", at positions 51 to 414 of the family's 1831-position model. The record is from RNAcentral. Lineage: Eukaryota; Metazoa; Arthropoda; Copepoda; Calanoida; Pontellidae.
AUGCAUGUCUAAGUACAAGCCGAACUAAGGUGAAACCGCGAAUGGCUCAUUAAAUCACACCUAAUCUACUGGAAUGUUAGCAGUUACUUGGAUAACUGAGGUAAUUCUUGAGCUAAUACAUGCGAAAAAUCUCGACUCACGGAGAGAUGCUUUUAUUAGAUCAAAACCAAACAGCUUCGGCUGUUCCACUGGUGACUCUGAAUAACCUUGGGCUGAUCGCAUUGCCUUGUGCAGGCGACAUUUCCUUCGAAGGUGUGCCCUAUCAACUGUCGACUGUGAUAUAGACGCUCACAGUGGUUUUGACGGGUAACGGGGAAUCAGGGUUCGAUUCCGGAGAGGGAGCCUUAAAAACGGCUACCACA